Gallus gallus (chicken) is the source of this 671-nucleotide long non-coding RNA. The record is from Ensembl. Lineage: Eukaryota; Metazoa; Chordata; Aves; Galliformes; Phasianidae.
AGGAAAUCCACCUUUUGUAUAUCCUUUCUUUCGGAGAACAUAUUGAAGCCUCAAUGAUUGCGAAGAAAAACUUGGAAUGUGGACUGAGUGCACUGGCUUUACUUACAGCUGCUUGGAGACAUAAAAGAAGAGCAGCAGAUGGUGAAGCAGCAGCAGUUACUAGAGCACAAAUUCAGUAAGAAACCCACUUGCUACAACUCUUGCAGAAACGGGCAUGGUUCUCAUUUUUCCACUGGUGGGUGAAAGGCUGGCUAAAGGAGAAAUCUGCCUGAGUUACAGAUGGAUAAAGGGAGAGAAUAGAGAUGGCUGUGACAGCAAUAGCAGGGAACAAGACCAGAAGGAAAGUUUACUCAUCCUUCUCUAUCUCAUCACUAGUUUCAGAGACAUGGACAUACGCUGCUGGCAGCCAGGGGUGCAGUUCCUCAUUAGAAUUGCUCUGAAGACAAAUCUGUUGUGAGAGGUUUCCACCACAGCCUUUUGCCUCGCUGCAGGUUUCUUCCCUCUCAAAGGAUAGAAAAGUCAAAGACAUUUUUUUAAAUAUUCAGAAGUAUUUCAUAAUCCAAAUGGAUGGAAUGAGACUUGACCAGGUUCUUUUAAUGCCCAAGGAACACCAUGUUUCAGAAAAUGCUGUGAAUGAUGGCCAAGAAGAAUUCUUUCCAUGGACUUUCCAG